CUUCAACUUCCAGCCGGCUUUGACAGGCAACACAUAAGCUAAGAAACUGGCAUUUUGAAUGCUGAAAGAGGUUUUAUGUGAAGCCUGAAUAACACAGAGGGAAAGUAUGUCUUGCUAAUGGAAAAUCUCCCUCAGGGAGAACACAAUUGGCACGAGUCAUAAACAUGACAACUCCAUAAACAAAAUGGCUGCCAGUUUCCUGGGAAAAUAGUACUUACAAAAGAAUCAAAGACACAGGAUAUGCAAAAUAAAGGAAGGAGUUCAUGUGGCCCCAUGGAAUCAUUGACAUGCCUGCAAAGGAUGUUUGC
Pogona vitticeps (central bearded dragon) is the source of this 308-nucleotide non-coding RNA. The record is from RefSeq and is a predicted model, not a curated record. NCBI's taxonomy places the organism in Eukaryota, Metazoa, Chordata, Lepidosauria, Squamata, Agamidae.